Molecule: ribosomal RNA, 440 nt
Filed under: uncultured bacterium
Lineage: Bacteria
Description: partial 16S ribosomal RNA
Rfam family: Bacterial small subunit ribosomal RNA
Source: RNAcentral
CCUACGGGUGGCAGCAGUAGGGAAUAUUGCUCAAUGGGGGAAACCCUGAAGCAGCAACGCCGCGUGGGUGAUGAAGGUUUUCGGUUUGUAAACUCCUUUCGUUAGAGAAGAUAAUGACGGUAUCUGACUAAUAAGCCCCGGCUAACUCCGUGCCAGCCGCCGCGGUAAUACGUAGGGUGCAAGCGUUACACGGAUUUACUGGGCGUAAAGGGCGCGUAGACGGGAUAGCAAGUCAGAUGUGAAAUUCCAUGGCUGAACCCUGGAACUGCAUUUGAAACUGUAAUUCUAGAGUGUCGGAGAGGCAGGUGGAAUUCCUGGUGUAGGGGUAAAAUGCGUAGAUAUCAGGAGGAAUACGAGUGGCGAAGGCGACCUGCUAGAAGAUGACUGACGUUGAGGCGCGAAAGCGUGGGGAGCAAACAGGAUUAGAUACCCCGGUAGUC